GCAAACUUGGUCAUUUAGAGGAAGUAAAAGUCGUAACAAGGUUUCCGUAGGUGAACCUGCGGAAGGAUCAUCACAGAGAUAGGGAGAGGGAGAUGCAUGUGAUAUAUAUCAUCAUCUCUCUCUCCUAUAACCACUCAUGUGUGCAUUGUAUAGGUAGUGAUGGCAAUAUGUCACACGCCUCUUAUAUAUAAACUACUUGAUCUUAUUAAUCUAUAGUAUCUAUAAUUAUUAUUAACAUAACACAACUUUUAACAAUGGAUCUCUUGGCUCUCGCAUCGAUGAAGAACGCAGC
RNAcentral lists this unclassified non-coding RNA (292 nucleotides) under uncultured fungus. RNAcentral's name for it is "partial contains small subunit ribosomal RNA, internal transcribed spacer 1, and 5.8S ribosomal RNA". The stretch from base 1 to 73 matches the Rfam family "Eukaryotic small subunit ribosomal RNA", at positions 1759 to 1831 of the family's 1831-position model. Lineage: Eukaryota; Fungi. The record is from RNAcentral.